UGACUUAAAAGGGUGAUGGGUUACACAUU
This 29-nucleotide non-coding RNA is filed under the name Homo sapiens (human). Lineage: Eukaryota; Metazoa; Chordata; Mammalia; Primates; Hominidae. The record is from RNAcentral.